GAGGCAACCUGAAGUCAGGAUUCUUUCUUUCCUGCUGUGAGAGGGACGUCCCUCCUCCGUAGCUUUUGUCUCUCUAUUGCCUGCGCCGUGUCCUGGACUGCUCACGGGAGUUCUGCAGGAGACGCCGGAAUAUCUGGAAGCUGAAAAAUGGAAAUAAAUGGAAAGACCAGAAUAUUGAAGAUCACUACAGAAAUCUAAGGGUCAGGCGUGGUGGCUCACACCUGUAAUCCCAGCACUUUGGGAAGCAGAGGCAGUUGGAUCACUUGAACCUGGGAGGCGUUCUGGAGGUCAGGAGUUUGAGACCAGCUUGGCCAACAUGGUGAAACCCUGUCUCUGCUAAAAAUACAAAAAUUAGCCGGGCAUCAUGGCACAUGCCUGUAAUCCCAGCUACUCUGGAGGCUGCAGCAGGAGAAUCGCUUGAACCUGGGAGGCGGAGGUUGCAGUGAGCCGAGAUCACGCCACUGCUUCUUGCUUUAAAAGAAGAGUAAAGACAAGAGUGUUGGACCAGUAUUGCAGUUCUGUAGUAUCAUUUCUUAUAAAAAACAAAACAACAAUAAUUUAUCAAAAUUGGCAUAUAAAGACUGACAACAUUCUAAUAAAGGCACAAAUUUCUUUUUAA
RNAcentral lists this non-coding RNA (619 nucleotides) under Pan troglodytes (chimpanzee). The record is from RNAcentral. Lineage: Eukaryota; Metazoa; Chordata; Mammalia; Primates; Hominidae.